This 259-nucleotide ribosomal RNA is filed under the name uncultured Glomus. RNAcentral describes it as "partial 18S ribosomal RNA". It matches the Rfam family "Eukaryotic small subunit ribosomal RNA", at positions 624 to 886 of the family's 1831-position model. The record is from RNAcentral. Lineage: Eukaryota; Fungi; Glomeromycota; Glomeromycetes; Glomerales; Glomeraceae.
AAGCUCGUAGUUGAAUUUCGGGGUUAGUAGGUUGGUCAUGCCUCUGGUAUGUACUGGUCUCACUGAUUCCUCCUUCCUUAUGAACCGUAAUGCCAUUAAUUUUGGUGUUGCGGGGAAUUCGGACUGUUACUUUGAAAAAAUUAGAGUGUUUAAAGCAAGCUAACGCUUGAAUACAUUAGNAUGGAAUAAUGAAAUAGGACGUUCGAUCUUAUUUUGUUGGUUUCUAGGAUUGACGUAAUGAUUAAUAGGGAUAGUUGGG